GAUGAACGCUGACCGAAUGCUUAACACAUGCCAGUCAGCUGUGGCGGACGGGUGAGUAACGCGUAAAGAACUUGCCUCACAGAUAGGGACAACAUUUGGAAACGAAUGCUAAUACCUGAUACUGUGAGAGAGCUUUGCGUCCCAUUAGCUAGUUGGAGAGGUAACUGCUCACCAAGGCGAUGAUGGGUAGCCGGCCUGAGAGGGUGAUCGGCCACAAGGGGACUGAGACAUGGCCCUUACUCCUACGGGAGGCAGCAGUGGGGAAUAUUGAACAAGGGACCAAAGUCUGAUCCAGCAAUUCUGUGUGCACGAUGAAGUUUUCGGAAUGUAAAGUGCUUUCAGUUGGGAAGCGGUACCAACAGAAGAAGUGACGGCUAAAUACGUGCCAGCAGCCGCGGUAAUUC
Molecule: ribosomal RNA, 404 nt
Filed under: uncultured bacterium
Lineage: Bacteria
Description: partial 16S ribosomal RNA
Rfam family: Bacterial small subunit ribosomal RNA
Source: RNAcentral